This 253-nucleotide ribosomal RNA is filed under the name uncultured bacterium. RNAcentral describes it as "partial 16S ribosomal RNA". It matches the Rfam family "Bacterial small subunit ribosomal RNA", at positions 524 to 776 of the family's 1533-position model. The record is from RNAcentral.
GACGAGCCGAGCGAACGUUGUUCGGAAUAACUGGGCUUAAAGGGCGCGUAGGCGGGCCGCCAAGUUCGAGGUGAAAUCCUCCGGCUCAACCGGAGAACUGCCUCGAAUACUGGAGGCCUCGAGGCGGGUAGGGGCACGCGGAACUGUGGGUGGAGCGGUGAAAUGCGUUGAUAUCCACAGGAACUCCGGUGGCGAAGGCGGCGUGCUGGACCCGAUCUGACGCUGAGGCGCGAAAGCCAGGGGAGCAAACGGG